UCCAGUGUGGCUGGGUAGGAUUUGUGCUAGGUGAAGAAGCAGGGAAGCAGACAAGCUGAGCCUUGCUCACCCUGCAGGUGCUACUAUGGCUCCUGCCCCGCCUAGAAGCCGCAGCUGCCUUGCAGGAGCGGUGGAUCCCCGCUGGACCUCCCCACCACCCUCUGUGGAGAAGAAACAAGACUGACCAUCUCCCCAUCCAUGUGAGGUCUUACGUGCUACGCCCACUUCAUAACCCACAUCGGGGAUCAACAUGUCUGCCCAGGAAUAAACCCUUUGAAGUAAUACCAGCAAGCAGAGGCUACCACACAGCCCCUGGAAGAGUCCAACGACAUCAUUUGUUAAUUGGAAGACAUUUUUGAUGCCUCCUUCCUGCACCAGUCCACUCCUCUAAGGGGGGAUGGGGACCCUUAGCCCCAGUCUCCAGGGAAGGGGUGUGGUUAGGCAAGUUUAACAGAAACUAGAAAGCCCUUUAACAGGAAAAUUGGGCUGGAUGGUUGGGAGGCUGCCUGUGUCAUGUCCCCAGGGUAGGGGCUGGCAUGGGGGCUGCAGGUUGGUUACUGUGGCUACCACACAAGGUACCUAAAAAUCAGCCCUGGCUUGAAGAAAAGCAUUCAUGUCAGUUGACGCUUUCGAUCAAUGAGGUCAGCUCCUGUAAAAAUCAAACACACAUACAAACAAAUAAAACCAAAAUGAUUUUCAAGGUUA
Long non-coding RNA from Nannospalax galili (Upper Galilee mountains blind mole rat), 705 nucleotides. RefSeq lists it as uncharacterized. The record is from RefSeq and is a predicted model, not a curated record. Lineage: Eukaryota; Metazoa; Chordata; Mammalia; Rodentia; Spalacidae. The transcript is spliced from 2 exons.